UACGUAGGGGGCAAGCGUUAUCCGGAUUUACUGGGUGUAAAGGGAGCGCAGGCGGCGCGCCAAGUCUGAUGUGAAACCCCGGGGCUCAACCCCGGGCAUGCAUUGGAAACUGGCGGGCUGGAGUGCCGGAGAGGUAAGCGGAAUUCCUAGUGUAGCGGUGAAAUGCGUAGAUAUUAGGAGGAACACCAGUGGCGAAGGCGGCUUACUGGACGGCAACUGACGCUGAGGCUCGAAAGCGUGGGGAGCAAACAGG
Molecule: ribosomal RNA, 253 nt
Filed under: uncultured bacterium
Lineage: Bacteria
Description: partial 16S ribosomal RNA
Rfam family: Bacterial small subunit ribosomal RNA
Source: RNAcentral